Galendromus occidentalis (western predatory mite) is the source of this 401-nucleotide RNA transcript. It is a transcript of the gene named required for excision 1-B domain-containing protein, with no coding region annotated. The transcript has 4 exons. NCBI's taxonomy places the organism in Eukaryota, Metazoa, Arthropoda, Arachnida, Mesostigmata, Phytoseiidae. The record is from RefSeq and is a predicted model, not a curated record.
AUGUAUCCCUUGGACACUGUGAGAAGCAAGUUGGAUGUUGCCGAGGGUGACGUGAUCUCUCUGCUCCAAAAAUUCAAGGCACUUCAAGAGGAGCGGAUUUACACCUAUAAUCUAUUCCACGAGGGGCACGAAUUAUACCUUGCGUCCGCGCCCAACUAUAAUUUUCCUCAAUUCCACCAAAUGGUCCAUGACUCAUUCAUCAUGUAUCAUUGAACUCGAAGAGAGGAUUCAGACCGAUCGAUCCGGAACUCGCCUCAGUCAUCCAGCACUUGCAGGAAGCCGAGAAAACUAAGCUGCGAGUGACCGCCAGGAAACGACUCGCUGAACAGAGGCUCCAAGACAGCCCAGAAGUGAACCGUGGGACCGCAAAGACCUGCAUCGAACGCACGACUGGCCCGUGA